CGUUGUCUCGUUUCUUGUGCUGGGACUUUUCCACGCAACUUGCGAAUCUCCUCCACUUGGUCUUGCGAUAGUUGUCUUUUUGGAGGCAUUUGGUUGUACUAUAUAUCUACAGUCGCAAAAAAUUGUCUAUAUGGGAAACUAGGGCACACUAGGUGCAGACUAGGCAAACUGGGGCACACUAGGUGCAGACUAGACAAACUGGGGCACACUAGACAGAACCUAGAAUUUUGCUUGUUUUGCCAAGCAAUGCUUAGCAGAGGCUUAGCAAUACUUGG
Molecule: long non-coding RNA, 275 nt
Organism: Haliotis rubra (blacklip abalone)
Lineage: Eukaryota; Metazoa; Mollusca; Gastropoda; Lepetellida; Haliotidae
Exons: 3
Source: RefSeq, a predicted model, not a curated record